RNAcentral lists this ribosomal RNA (356 nucleotides) under uncultured Streptococcus sp. Its description in RNAcentral is "bacterial SSU rRNA". It matches the Rfam family "Bacterial small subunit ribosomal RNA", at positions 1025 to 1382 of the family's 1533-position model. The record is from RNAcentral. Lineage: Bacteria; Bacillati; Bacillota; Bacilli; Lactobacillales; Streptococcaceae.
ACGAGGGUGACAGGUGGUGCAUGGUUGUCGUCAGCUCGUGUCGUGAGAUGUUGGGUUAAGUCCCGCAACGAGCGCAACCCUCGACCUUAGUUGCCAGCAUUCAGUUGGGCACUCUAAGGUGACUGCGGCUAAAAGUCGGAGGAAGGUGGGGAUGACGUCAAAUCAUCAUGCCCCUUAUGACCUGGGCUACACACGUGCUACAAGUGGGCGGUACAACGAGUUGCGAGUCGGUGACGGCGAGCUAAUCUCUUAAAGCCAAUCUCAGUUCGGAUUGUAGGCUGCAACUCGCCUACAUGAAGUCGGAAUCGCUAGUAAUCGCGGAUCAGCACGCCGCGGUGAAUACGUUCCCGGGCCUU